UGGGAAUAUUGGUCAAUGGGGCGGAAGCCUGAACCAGCCAUGCCGCGUGAAGGACUGAGGCCCUACGGGUCGUAAACUUCUUUAGACGCAGAGCAAUAAGGUCCACGCGUGGACCGAUGAGAGUAUGCGUAGAAUAAGCAUCGGCUAACUCCGUGCCAGCAGCCGCGGUAAUACGGGGGAUGCGAGCGUUAUCCGGAUUCAUUGGGUUUAAAGGGUGCGUAGGCGGCCGAGUAAGUCAGCGGUGAAAGACCGGGGCUCAGCCCUGGAAGUGCCGUUGAUACUGUUUGGCUGGAAUGAUCCCGCCGCGGGAG
RNAcentral lists this ribosomal RNA (311 nucleotides) under uncultured bacterium. Its description in RNAcentral is "bacterial SSU rRNA". It matches the Rfam family "Bacterial small subunit ribosomal RNA", at positions 356 to 663 of the family's 1533-position model. The record is from RNAcentral.